CAGAGUUGCAAAACUCCCAACCCUUUGUGAACGAACCUACCAGUUGCCCUCGGCGGCGAGCCCUUCCGGGGGCAGACCGCCGGAGGAAUACAAACUCUUUGCAUUAUUGUAUCUCUGAUUACUUAUAUAAUAAGUUA
This 137-nucleotide unclassified non-coding RNA is filed under the name soil metagenome. Its description in RNAcentral is "partial internal transcribed spacer 1". The record is from RNAcentral.